AUCCUGGCUCGGACGAACGCUGGCGGCGCGCCUAACACAUGCAAGUCGAACGAGAGAUAGGAGCUCGCUCUUCAAAUCGAGUGGCGAACGGGUGAGUAACGCGUGAGGAACCUGCCUCAAAGAGGGGGACAACAGUUGGAAACGACUGCUAAUACCGCAUAAGCCCACGGCUCGGCAUCGAGCAGAGGGAAAGGAGCAAUCCGCUUUGAGAUGGCCUCGCGUCCGAUUAGCUAGUUGGUGAGGUAAUGGCCCACCAAGGCGACGAUCGGUAGCCGGACUGAGAGGUUGAACGGCCACAUUGGGACUGAGACACGGCCCAGACUCCUACGGGAGGCAGCAGUGGGGAAUAUUGCACAAUGGGGGAAACCCUGAUGCAGCGACGCCGCGUGGAGGAAAGAAGGUCUUCGGAUUGUAAACUCCUGUUGUUGAGGAAGAUAAUGACGGUACUCAACAAGAAAGUGACGGCUAACUACGUGCCAGCAGCCGCGGUAAAACGUAGGUCACAAGCGUUGUCCGGAAUUACUGGGUGUAAAGGGAGCGCAGGCGGGAGAACAAGUUGGAAGUGAAAUCCAUGGGCUCAACCCAUGAACUGCUUUCAAAACUGUUUUUCUUGAGUAGUGCAGAGGUAGGCGGAAUUCCCGGUGUAGCGGUGGAAUGCGUAGAUAUCGGGAGGAACACCAGUGGCGAAGGCGGCCUACUGGGCACCAACUGACGCUGAGGCUCGAAAGUGUGGGUAGCAAACAGGAUUAGAUACCCUGGUAGUCCACACCGUAAACGAUGAUUACUAGGUGUUGGAGGAUUGACCCCUUCAGUGCCGCAGUUAACACGAUAAGU
RNAcentral lists this ribosomal RNA (834 nucleotides) under uncultured bacterium. RNAcentral's name for it is "bacterial SSU rRNA". It matches the Rfam family "Bacterial small subunit ribosomal RNA", at positions 16 to 865 of the family's 1533-position model. The record is from RNAcentral.